AUUGAACGCUGGCGGCAUGCCUUACACAUGCAAGUCGAACGGUAACAGGCCUUCGGAUGCUGACGAGUGGCGAACGGGUGAGUAAUACAUCGGAACGUGCCCGAUCGUGGGGGAUAACGAGGCGAAAGCUUUGCUAAUACCGCAUACGAUCUACGGAUGAAAGCGGGGGAUCUUCGGACCUCGCUCGGACGGAUCGGCCGAUGGCAGAUUAGGUAGUUGGUGGGUUAAAAGCUUACCAAGCCGACGAUCUGUAGCUGGUCUGAGAGGAUGAUCAGCCACACUGGGACUGAGACACGGACAAGACUCCUACGGGAGGCAGCAGUGGGGAAUUUUGGACAAUGGGCGAAAGCCUGAUCCAGCCAUGCCGCGUGCAGGAUGAAGGCCUUCGGGUUGUAAACUGCUUUUGUACGGAACGAAAAGACUCUUUCUAAUAAAGAGGGGUCAUGACGGUACCGUAAGAAUAAGCACCGGCUAACUACGUG
RNAcentral lists this ribosomal RNA (482 nucleotides) under uncultured bacterium. RNAcentral's name for it is "partial 16S ribosomal RNA". It matches the Rfam family "Bacterial small subunit ribosomal RNA", at positions 30 to 507 of the family's 1533-position model. The record is from RNAcentral.